CUGAACUACAAAGUGAGUUCAAGGACAGCCUGGACUAUGUGGUGAGAUCCUUUCUCCAAAAAACCCCUCACAAAACCCUGCUACAAUUCCUGUAGUAACCACAGAAGGUGAAAUUAUUCAGCCAUUCAUCGACCCAAGCAUUACUGUCAGUGACCUUGGCUGUCCAAUUAGCUGCCACGUUCUGCAAGCUUUCCGUGUGCCUGGUGUGGCAACAAGCCUGGGUAGUUGCCAGGGAAGCCGAGGUCUCCAGCGUGAGGCUACAGCCGUAAUUUAGACACGUCUCUUACACGUAGAGCUGUGCUGCUAACUCCAGGCCCAGGGGCUCAUUGGCCCUUUCACUCAGUGUCCUGCCACUGUAGGCGCCUUGUUUUCAUUGUAUAUAAACCAGAGCCACAUUACACACCGUAUAGUUUAGAAUUGUUUUGGUUUUGCAUUUCUGUUCUGAUCACUGAUUUUAGAAAGCCCAUUUCUUAGCUGGGCGUGGUGCUGCAUGCCAGUAAUCCUAACACUCAGGAGGCUGAGGCAGGAGGAUUGGCAUGGUUUCAAAGCAGCCUUAACUAUAUAACAGAAUCUUGUCUCAAAAAAAGUGUUUUUUAAUCUUCAUGGGUAAGUCUGCUUAGUAUAAAUUAAAUCCUAUGUUACUUAUAAUUUGCUCAUAGGCAAAGAUAGGCAAACUCCAGCUGCCUGACUUCCUGUUUUUGUAAAUAUAUUUUUUAUUGAAAUUCAGUCACAGCAUUUGUUUAUCCUCUGUGCUUUUGCAGUUUAAGGGCAAAGUUGAGCUGCCAUGCAGAGGGUGGCCCCAGAAGCUAAAAAUAUUUUUAGCCAUUUAAGAGAAAGUUUACAGGUCCCUGCUCUGGGGCCUCAGUCAUCUCAGCAAUGUAGCAGUGCAUACCUAUUCCUGUAGCUGCUUGGGAGGAUGAGACAGGAGGGUUGUGAGUUUAAGGCCAGCCUGCGUAACUAGAUUAUUUCACUAAACUAAAAAUGACAGGGGCUAUAGCUUAAAAAAUAAGGAAAAUUGCUCUAGUCAAACUCAAGGUCUUUUCAAGAAAAUAUUAAUCCUUAAGUGAUUUGGUACACAAAGGUUUCUGAAGAUUAACAAGUCUCAAGCUAUAGAAUCUGAUAAUGGCUUCAGUGCCAGAGCAAGGACACCCUGCAAGCGGGCAGUUAUGGAAGGCUUGUGCAGUGGGUGCACAGGCAGCGAAGGGCGGCUCUGACCUGUUCUCUCCCCGCUGACAGUUGGCCCUGGUUGAAGGGAGCCAGGUGUGUCCUCCUGCGGGGUCUCCGGCUUUGCCGGCUGCAGCAAGCACAGGUGGAAGCGACUUCCAGGGGACCUCGUGCACCCAAGCCCGCAUGGGGAGGACGACACACACUACACACUGUCAGAGCAUCAGCUGGCCUGUUUCCCUGCCAGGAUGCUUGGCCCUCAGGUCCUUGGGUACCAGCAGCAUCUUGUCUGUCACACCCGUGGUCACUCAGCGCCAGCAGGCUCGGAGCCUUCUUUGCCUGUACAGAUUGGCACCUGGGCAGGCAGGGCUCUUAGAGGGCUCUGCUUGGAAGUGGUCUGGUGAUACAAUUAUGAGCAGAUGUUUGCCUGUUGCUGUUUAGAAUUGCUUUUACUCACUGUCAUUCGACAUGGUGGCUCUUUUCUCAGAGCCCUUUCCUGUGGCAUCUGUGACACUUUCCUGUUGGCCUCUGGCCUAUGCAUGGCCCUAUUUAUUUAGUGUGGACUUUCUGACUGGCCUUGUUUCCUGGAUCGCUGCGUGGCCUCAAGGUCUGGCUUGAGCUUUAGGCUUUCUCGCUGCACAGCUGCUCUGCCAUGGCUUCUUCCUCCACUGCAUGUUCAGCAGUUACCCAGCUCAGAGCUGGGCAUUAGAGGCACUGCCCAGAGGACAAACCUGGCACACAGGCCUCUGGAGGACGCACCGUCCAACUUCAACACUUAGCAGUGUGUGUUAGGAAAAGAACGGCAAGACUGUCCAUUGUGUAAUAAAGCUUUGGGACAGAAACUUCACUUUAAAAAUGCCCGCUCUGCAGCUGGAUGAGAUGGCACACGCCUAUAAUCCUAGCUGCUGAAGCUGAGGCAGGAGGAUCUUGAGUUUGAGACCAGCCUAAGAUUGUGAGAGACACUGUCUGCUUGUUAGCCCACCUUGUACCCCAGACCCAGCUCAGGUUCCGCCCCACUGUACCCACGUAGCCGACUGUUGGGUGGAGCCAGUGUUCCCAGAGACUUGCUGUGUGCUGGGUGCAGUCCAGGCUGGAGAUGAGCGGGUGAGGCAGAGGGUGCAGCCGAUGGAGGCCUUCUGCUGGUGGCAUGGGUCGCCACUGGCCCUAGUCCAGCGUUGGCUGAGCUGGGUGAAGCCUCCCAGAUAACUGGAGUAGGCAGGGCAGGCAGCAGUGCAGUGGCCCGGCGGGGGUGGUCUAGCCAAGGCAUGUCACACCCCACAGGGAGGAUGCUCGGUGAGGAGGCCACAUGGGUCUUCAGGUGGUAUGAUCUCUGUGGUGACCUUGAGAACAGGCGUGGCAGUGUGGGGCUCACGCAGAGAGGCUAAAGUGCCCCAGGAAGGGCUCCGGGGUCCCUGCGGGUCCAUGUUUAUCUUGCUGCCACCAUGCACUGGCCUGGUUUUCUGGGACUGUUCCCUUUCUCUGAGUCAUACUGGUCGGCCUGACAGAAUCACACUGGCUGCCCUCUCAUAGUUUCUAAAGAUCUCAGCCCGCAGAGCUCUCAUUGGGCUUAAAAUAGGAAGGCAGAAAGCAAGGGAGGCCGGUGCCCACCCUUCCAUGAAAGGUUCUCCUGUCUCUUGGGAACUUGAGCUGUGGACAGACGCAGGUCGGUGUUGUGUGCUCUGAGCCCUGCUGCAGCCCAGCCCAGGGGCCUGCGGGCCAGUGUGGCAGCGGGUAGGCCUGGCUUGACAUCCCUGCUCAUCCAGGGAGCGACUGGGGCGGCUCACUUGCACUGGCUCCAAGCCUGUUUGCUUCUGGUGAGCCAGGUGUGAGCUGGUGUGCCACCUGUCGCGGAGCGUGACCACGGUGCUCACCUCUGUGCUCUCGU
This is a long non-coding RNA of Octodon degus (degu), 3049 nucleotides long. RefSeq lists it as uncharacterized. The transcript has 3 exons. The record is from RefSeq and is a predicted model, not a curated record. NCBI's taxonomy places the organism in Eukaryota, Metazoa, Chordata, Mammalia, Rodentia, Octodontidae.